Molecule: long non-coding RNA, 221 nt
Filed under: Panax ginseng (ginseng)
Lineage: Eukaryota; Viridiplantae; Streptophyta; Magnoliopsida; Apiales; Araliaceae
Description: long non-coding RNA (PGIN_LNC007438)
Source: RNAcentral
UCUUCUUUCUUGGCCUCAUCACUUUCUGAACCAUCAUGAGAGCUUUCUUGGAUUGAGGGGACAUGUUCUUCUUCUUCUUCUAGAAUAGUAUUUUCUGACCCAUUCUCUGGGCAGGUUGGGGAAGUUGCACUUGGGGAUGCACUUUGAUCAUUCUGAAUUCCUUUUUCUUCAUCAGAGUUGCUUCUCUGAGAAUUGGCCAUGGGGCUUGAGCACUUUUCUUC